RNAcentral lists this long non-coding RNA (1073 nucleotides) under Equus caballus (horse). RNAcentral's name for it is "lncRNA (ENSECAG00000048284.1)". The record is from RNAcentral. Lineage: Eukaryota; Metazoa; Chordata; Mammalia; Perissodactyla; Equidae.
UUUUAAUAUCAUUGAAAGAAAAAAUCCGUUAUAUUGACACCCCACCAACUUUAAGACACUAUUUUCAAAAAUGUUGCAAUGUGUACCUUAAAAUAGAUGAAAUGUAGCAACUAGACACCACAGAUCCUGUCCCUCAUGCACAAGAUGAAGCAACUAUCCUCGCUUCCCAAAGACCUGAGGUUUCCUCUGGACAGCUGGCACCAGACAGCCUCUGAUCUUAAAGGUGGGAGCACAGCUGAGGGAAGCUCCCAGCAAGAUCCUGGCGACAUGGUCAGCAUUCCACAUUCUUCUUAUUAAAUGACUUGUAGCCGCCACACACUGUAUAUCAUCCAGCACCUGAACUCUUUCCAAACACAGUUGAUAUCAAACACUUGUUGACGCACGAUUCAGGGGAGGCAGCCACAAAAAUAUAUGAAGCCAAUCCACAGAAAAGGGACUGAAAGAGGGAACAACUCUUGAGAGCCUUCCUGGGAAGCCUUUGGGGUCGCUCCAUUCCGUGCUGUGGAUCAUUCCGGGAUUCCGUUCCUGCUGGCCGUUUCGCAGAAAAGUGAGCCCAGCUGAGCCGUUUCACAGCUUGCACUGUGGGGCGUGAGCCGGUGGAAAUUCAACUAGGGAAUAGACUGCAAAAGGUCUUGGGGCAGCCAAGAGUCGAAAGCUCCAUGAAGACAGAAAGACGGUAACUACGAUGACUGCUCUUCACUGGAUCCUCAGCCCCUUCCACAGAGCCUGUAACGGGACAAGGAUCUACUAAGUCUUUGUUUUUGAAUCAUUUGCUUGUGGGGGAAGCCAGCUGCCAUGUUGUGAAGACAUUCAAGCAGCCUUUAUGAAGUGGUUCACAUGGCAGAGAACUGAGGGCUCCUGCCGGCAGCCAGCGUCAACUUUCUGGCCAUGUGGCUGAGCCAUCUUGGAAGCAGAUCCUUCAGCCUGGUGAGGCUUUGGGAGGACUCCAGCCCUGGCCAACAGCUUGACUGCAACUGUAUGAGAGACCCCAAGACAGAACCACCCAGCUAAGCUGCUCCCGAAUACAUGACCCACAUAAAUUGUAUGAGAUGAUAAAUGCUUGUUGUUGUUUU